This 1949-nucleotide long non-coding RNA is filed under the name Dicentrarchus labrax (European seabass). Its description in RNAcentral is "lncRNA (ENSDLAG00005003272.2)". Lineage: Eukaryota; Metazoa; Chordata; Actinopteri; Moronidae. The record is from RNAcentral.
UACCACAAUAAUGUAUGUCUAAUGUAGAAAUACAUUUCUGUCCGGUUGUUGUUCUGUCCUUGUAGUCCCACCGUGCCGACAGUGAAGAGACCUGUAACCAUUCCUCCUGAGCUGCAGGUUCUGGUGACAGAGGUUGCUCAUCCCAACAAACUGAGUUCUUUCAGCGUGAACUUCAGCUAACCGAGCGCAGAGUGGAAGACAGAGCGGAAAAGAAGAGGAAACUGCCGGACCCUCAGCCUCGAGGAACAAUGUGUCGUUUCUGUCACACAGAGCUGAAGCAGGGUCCAACCAGCAGACACACACACACACACACACACACACACACACAGACACACAGACACACACACAGACACACAGACACACACACACACACAGACACACACUCAGGAUUCCCGGGGGGGAAACACAUUCACUGUCCAGCUAAGGUCCUUGUGUCAUAAAGACAUGACAAAGGAAAUGACGUGGAAAGAAUUUGAGGCCUCACCGUUCAAUGUGAUGGAGAAAGAGAGGGUGGACGGCAGAAAGAAAAAGAUAGCUGAGAAUGAGACGUGUUUAUCUACAGAGAGAGAGCGGGUCAGCUUCCAUGGAGUUCGCCAUGUUCAACCACCGUGUUUCUACAGUAGCCCCAAAGGGACAAACAGAACACUGGCUCUAGAUAGAGCCUUUCACAUUUCACAUGUUUCUGUGACACCAUAGUUUCUGGGGAGGGGGAGGGAGGAGCCAGUGAGUUGCAACUACACCACUAGAUGCCAAUAAAGGCUUCACAAUGUCCUUUAACAUAAACGCCGUUCGACCACGAAGCAUUGCAUUCUGUGAAAUUACAACUGAUUAAUCUGAUUGAUUUAGUUGUUUCCUUGUAUAUAUUUAUAAUUGAUUAUUGGAUAUAAAACUGAUUGAAAGAUUGAUUAUACUUGUUUUAGCACUCUUUAAAUUGCACUGAAGACAGAGGACAGUGUGGACAGAUUUAAUAAAACAAUGACUUUUAGCACAGAACUUGUUUCACUUGAUUUCAUCUAUAAAGCUCUGGUCAGCUCAUUUCCAUUAUGAAUAAUAGUAUUUAAUUCACCUUUGAAUGCUAAAGAAAAUCAGUCUUUAUUACAAGUAUAAUUGAGUAUAAUGUUACGUAUUAUAUUGAUACUGUAAUUGGGGUGUUCCUCCAUAAAAUUCUCAAUACAUGAAUACAAACAAUUAUUACAUACUUUAGACUGAAAUCAUGUAGAUUUUAAUGUCAAAUUUAGAAUAAAUAAGUUAGAAGUUAGAAAGACUCAUGAAGCACAGAAAGUCACACAAGCAGCCACCUCACUGUUGGCGGAUGAGUCAGUGAGCGUGAUGGAUCAAACUCCGUCUCUGACACCAAUACCGAGACCGGCAGAGCCAAGCCAAGAGUCCUCAUGUGUCCGGAGUGUCGCGGCUCAACUGCACACUUCCCACCAACAGGAGGAACAAGCUAGCUUUGACCAAGACAAAACUUCUACACCGAAAACACGGUACUCUGGAGUCACAAGACGCAUAAGCCCGGACUGCAAAGUGAAAAACUAUAGAACCCUUAGGGUUAGAAUAAAAAAUAUAUAAGUAAUUAUUUAAAUUCAAUAUUUACCAGUGUGUUUGAAAUUCAACCGGGCUUCAGCCACACAUUUUUAUGUCAUUCAUUAUUCAAAAUGUAUGAUACAAUAUGUCGAAGAUACAAAGAAUACAAUUCGAACAAGAAUUUGGCAACAUAAGUUUAAUACUCUGAACAAAAAAGGAAAUUGAGACCACUGGUAGAUUACUUCCUGGUAUAUGGCUGGCCAGCCGAACGCGUGUCAGGACUCCAACACAAUUCCUCUUGGACAGACGCAGGAAGGAAAAAAGCAGAGAAGAAAAGGAAUUGAGUCCUUAAAAACUAUGGAACCAGUAGGACUUAACCCUCCCGCUGAGGCUCUGACGGCUAGGCGCAUAGGAAUGGGAGG